This is an RNA transcript of Beta vulgaris subsp. vulgaris (sugar beet), 2007 nucleotides long. It is a transcript of the gene named protein SKIP34, with no coding region annotated. NCBI's taxonomy places the organism in Eukaryota, Viridiplantae, Streptophyta, Magnoliopsida, Caryophyllales, Amaranthaceae. The transcript is spliced from 2 exons. The record is from RefSeq and is a predicted model, not a curated record.
UUAAGUUUUAAAGCUCCUACUCUUUUCAUCUUUUUUGUAUAUAAUCUGUUUUUUUUUUUUUUUUUUUCUAAAAUUACUGUUUUGUUGUUUUAAAAAUAAUUAUGGUUUUCUCUAAUCUAAUUUAUUUUUAAUUACUCUUUCAUAUAAUAUGAUUUCUCAAUUAGAAUUUUUUCGAGAGAUUGGGAGGUUUCAUUUGAUUGUACUAUUGUAGUUAUUGUUGUUCUACUGCUACACUUCUACUAGUAUACUUAGGCUUUAGGUCUGUUAGAUUCGACUUAUUUUGUCUAAUCUGAUCUUCGGAAAUGAGUGAAGAUAAGUUGAACAGAACAUCUUAUUUAUCUUAUUUUAUAAGAUUUGAAAUAAAUUAAAAUAAGUUGAACAGGAUCUUAAAAAGUUCGCAUUAACUAUUCUUUUCUCUUUGAGAAAAUACUUCAUCCGUUUUUUUUUUUUAUACUUGUAACAUUUAUGUGUCAGGAGAGACAAAGCAAGCCUAUAUUGCAAAAAAUUGUAAGGUUGAAAGUCUUAAAAUGGGAAACGUUGCAAGUAGACAAAAGUGAGGAAGUAUAAGUUAAGUUAAGCAACAUCAAGUGAUCAGGUUAACAAGGAGGUUGAUUUCGAUUUGAGUUCAUAUGUAAUACUUGUGCAAUACUCUGAUGUUUACAUUCUAUAGCUUUUACCAUCUAUUAGCACAGUGGAAAUUCCUAAUGCAUAAUGGGUAGGAACGUUUUUUUGAUCAUGAUGACACUUUUUUGAUGGUAUAUUAAACAAUUUAAGUUGUAUAGUGAGUCAUAACUCAUAAUGGUUAUUGGUGUAUAUGAAAUCACAAAUAUUGUAUAUGGAAACCAAAGUACCGCCAUUAUCGGUUGGCUAUACUGAAAUGGUGAUGUUUGGUUUCAAUAUACAGCAGUUGUAGUUAAAUAGAAGUAUGCAACAUUCAUAAUCAAGUAUUCAAUAGAAAGUAUGUUAUACAGAAAAAUUGUGCACAACUUCUCUUGGAAGUUGGAACAUAGCAUUCUAGUAGAAGAUAUGCUAAGCUACCCAAAAUGUCCUCAUAUUUUUCUAGCUCCCCUUCCCCCCAAAACGCCGCAUCUUCCCCAUGGGCUCUCAUAAUCCCCGUUAUGAACAUCAUAGUUAGAUAUUUGGAACACCUUGCUUGUUUAUGGAAUGUGUUUAGCUAAUAAUAUGCAAAUUGAUGUUUAUGGAUUGUGUUUGGACUGCUUUGUGAUAUUUUCUUUAUCCAAACUUAUCUAAAUCUCAACAUUGCACAUUAAAAUUUAUUUCUUUAUUUUUUGCAAUCCAAACUUUUCUUCAUGAGUUAAUGCUCUUGAAUCUCAACACUGCUCUCAGAAAAUUCAUUAAUGUUAGUUGUGUUAUCUUCAGAUUCACUGUAUUGGCCGUCUUUUUUAGAUUACUCCCAUAUAUGAUACAUGUAUAUGACCUGGCUUGUGUACUGAGCAAACUGUUAUCUUCUUGUAACCUGCAUUCAUCUUCUUCUGGAUUACUACAUUGAUUGUAGAAUCAUCAGACAUUACUGACAUGGCAUCUUCUUCAAAUUUGACUUGGUUUAGAUCACAUUCACUAUCCCCCUUAGCUACGGGAUAACUAUUCUUUACACUUGUUUCAGUAAUACUAAAAUUUUCAUGAGUAGAUACCUAAUAAUCUCAACAAUGCGGCUCAUUGAUGUUUUGUUAUGUGCAUUGUCUUGGACACAAAGUGUUGACUUAAGAGUCCAAUCCAAGUUCAUAAGUGCGAUUGUUGGAGUAUACCAUGUAACAUUUUUCUUCAAAUUUGACUUUGGUUAGAUCAUAUUCACUGAUCUUCUCCUCUUGCACAAUGGCAACUUGUGGUGCUCUGCUGAACUGAAUAUUUUUUUUAGUCACAACUCAUAAGACAUGUCUUGAUUCUCUGGUGAAACAACCUCUCAAUGUAUAUUGUCUAAUGUCGCGUUAAAGCUGUAAAUUAACAUUAUGCUUAUGAUGCUAAAUCAAGGUAGUUUGUUUUUUUUUU